Molecule: long non-coding RNA, 201 nt
Filed under: Elaeis guineensis (African oil palm)
Lineage: Eukaryota; Viridiplantae; Streptophyta; Magnoliopsida; Arecales; Arecaceae
Description: long non-coding RNA (EGUI_LNC037224)
Source: RNAcentral
UGCAGUCUAUGUUUAUUCAAAUUUCUUUCUUUUACAAAACAAUCUAUGUUUCUGCUGUGUUUGUAUAUAUGUGGGUUGAGGUGUGCUCUGUUACUCCUCGAUCGGUCUUUUCAGUUUGGUAUCAGAGCAAGAAGAUUUUUUUAUAGUUAGUUUGAUUUGAAAUAAUGGCGGGCAAGGUGACGACAAUGAAGUAUGAGAUAC